CAACAUAUUUGCCAGGUUGCGGUCAGAACUCCACCGGUUCCCAUUAUAGUUAAUGGGGCCAGACAACAACGCUGUAGCUUCGGGCAAUGCCCGAUUACAGAGACGGAUCCGACAGGCUUUUCCCUG
This is a long non-coding RNA of Bufo bufo (common toad), 126 nucleotides long. RefSeq lists it as uncharacterized. The record is from RefSeq and is a predicted model, not a curated record. The transcript has 4 exons. Lineage: Eukaryota; Metazoa; Chordata; Amphibia; Anura; Bufonidae.